RNAcentral lists this transfer RNA (73 nucleotides) under Phycisphaeraceae bacterium. RNAcentral's name for it is "tRNA-Trp". It matches the Rfam family "tRNA". Rfam says of the family: Transfer RNA (tRNA) molecules are approximately 80 nucleotides in length. Lineage: Bacteria; Pseudomonadati; Planctomycetota; Phycisphaerae; Phycisphaerales; Phycisphaeraceae. The record is from RNAcentral. RNAcentral also lists the same sequence under 1 other name.
ACGCCGGUAGCUCAAUUGGCAGAGCAGCGGAUUCCAAAUCCGCAGGUUGGGGGUUCGAUUCCUCCCCGGCGUG